Molecule: ribosomal RNA, 827 nt
Filed under: uncultured bacterium
Lineage: Bacteria
Description: bacterial SSU rRNA
Rfam family: Bacterial small subunit ribosomal RNA
Source: RNAcentral
GGCUCAGGAUGAACGCUGGCGGCGUGCCUAAUACAUGCAAGUCGAACGGUCUAGCGCAAGCUAGAUAGUGGCGAACGGGUGAGUAACGCGUUGGUGACCUGCCCCGAAGUGUGGGAUAACAGUUCGAAAGGAUUGCUAAUACCGCAUGUGGUUAUAGGGAUUAGAUGCCUUGUAACUAAAGGAGUAAUUCGCUUCGGGAGGGGCCUGCGUCCCAUCAGCUAGUUGGUAAGGUAACGGCUUACCAAGGCGGUGACGGGUAGGGGACCUGAGAGGGUGGCCCCCCACAAUGGAACUGAAACACGGUCCAUACACCUACGGGUGGCAGCAGUAGGGAAUAUUGGUAAUCUGCGAAAGCGGGAACCAGCAACGCCGCGUGUGCGAUGAAGGCCUUCGGGUCGUAAAGCACUUUUCGAGGGGAUGAGGAAGGACAGUACCCUCGGAAUAAGUCUCGGCUAACUACGUGCCAGCAGCCGCGGUAAAACGUAGGAGGCGAGCGUUAUCCGGAUUUACUGGGCGUAAAGCGCGUGCAGGCGGUUCUGUAAGUUGGAUGUGAAAGCUCCUGGCUCAACUGGGAGAGGUCGUUCAAUACUGCAGGACUUGAGGAUGGUAGAGGGAGGUGGAAUUCCGGGUGUAGUGGUGAAAUGCGUAGAUAUCCGGAGGAACACCAGUGGCGAAAGCGGCCUCCUGGACCAUUUCUGACGCUCAGACGCGAAAGCUAGGGGAGUAAACGGGAUUAGAGACCCCGGUAAUCCUAGCUGUAAACUAUGUAGACGUGGCGUCGGUGGGUUUAAAUCCAUCGGUGCCGUAGCUAACGCGAUAAGUCUACC